This 8961-nucleotide long non-coding RNA is filed under the name Triticum aestivum (bread wheat). Its description in RNAcentral is "long non-coding RNA (TAES_LNC012216)". The record is from RNAcentral. Lineage: Eukaryota; Viridiplantae; Streptophyta; Magnoliopsida; Poales; Poaceae.
UCCGAAUAUAGUCGUCCAAUAUAUCAAUCUUCAUGUCUCGGCCAUUCCGAGACUCUUCUUCAUGUUUGUGAUCACAUCCGGGACUUCGAACUAUCUUCGGUACAUCAUAAUAUAUAAACUCAUAAUAUAACUGUCAUCUAACUUUAAGCGUGCGGACCCUACGGGUUCGAGAACUAUGUAGACAUGACCGAGACAUGUCCCCGGCCAAUAACCAAUAGCGGAACCUGUGGCACCCCGAUUCGCAUGGAGCAGGGGGCCUUCGCACUUCAGCCUAGGAUAACACCCGACGCACGACAGGUCCAUGAUACAGCAUUCCAGGUACAAGAAUAUUCAUCAAAUACAUGUGUAUAUACUUACAUCAGUGAUGAAUAUAAUCUUCUGGCAUAGCCCUAAGGCUAUUUACAUGGCAGCGGAAGUCUAUUUAAAUGGCGGCGGAAGUCUUGGCAGUAUGUCCCUCUGGCUGGGCUCCACAACUCACAGGACUGGCAAGAUUACGGCCUAGCACGACGAAACAAAUGAACUACCUACAAAACUGGCAUGACACGCCAGGUCAGUACAUUGAAUGUAUUUGCAAGACAACCAAAUACAUAGCAUCCGAACAAGCAAAAGACAAAGCAAGAACCAAGCGUCUACAACAACCUAUCUCAUAUAAGAAACUAAGCAUGGCAUUAUAUCAACCGAAGACAUAAAUCAAGCUAACCACAUGGCAUCUACUAGCAUGGCAACAACAUAGCAUAUCAAAUUUACUUCUAACAUGGCAAUAGCAAAGCAUAGCAUAUCAUCUCAAUCAUAUCCAUCAAAAGAUGGCAUGGCAUAAAUAAACUAUGCUGAAACUAAACCACCAAUCAUAUCAAAUGCAGACAUAGCAUGUUAACUGUAUGCAACCAUCUCAUGUUCUACCAUGGUUCUUCAAUGCAAACAUAUUACUCAUGCAAUGCAACCAAACUUGUGCACCGAGUCCCUCGGAUUCUCUUACCAACAGUGAUCACCUCAUUUCCUGAUCACCAACAGAGACAAACUCAUGAUCCUUAUGGCGAUCACAACCCGACCAACGACUGGCCCGUGAUCCUUACGGCGAUCACAACCCGACCAACAACUAGACCGUGAUCCUUAUGGCGAUCACAACGCGACCACAUCUGGCCCGUGAUCCUUACGGCGAUCACAACCCGACCACAUCUGGCCCAGCUUAAUUAUUUUAGGUUUAUCCUCCAUUCCGACCAAGACCCGAUAGUGUACCCUACUAAGAACUUAUGCCCAUGACCGAGGACGCGGCUAUCGAUAGUUUAAAUACACUGUGUAGAGGUAGCGCAUUGUACCCACACUACAGAACCCAUGGCCUCGCACUCCCAUUCGUGUGGACCAACGGCAUUCCGACGAAACCGAUCUACUGUCAUGACACUCUCCCGGCCACUCCGACUCACUCCCCACUGGGCUGGUCAUGGGUGGCCCCGUGUCUACCUCCAGACACCUCAACGACCACCAUCGUGGCCCGUCCCACAUUGGGACACGUGCACAAAACUUAACUUAACAACGGGCUCACAAGGUCAUGCUCCGCCUACCUGAUUAGGGUAGCGCGUGCCCAUAACCUUCCCUAGUUGGAGGCACCGACCAGAGGCACGACAAUAGACCGAAUUAAGGUCGUCCCAUAUCGGCAAAUGUGGUUGCACUUGGAAAAAGUUCGAUUUGGCGGCACUAUGACUUGAUCCCAUCGAUGAUGGAGGGGUUUUGUUAUUAAGUCAUGCUAUUAUCUUCUCCAUCAUCAAUCAUUAUACCAGCAUUUUAACAUGAAUGCAACAAUGAGCAUACUUCAUACAAAUGCUUUAACAAAAUAUCGGGCUUCUCAAGUGAACACUUACAGCAUAAAGAACAUGACAAUACCAAGUGCUAACAUAUCCAUGGUGCAUUACCAUCAUCAUAUCAUUUUAUAACGAUGACUUGAAAAUAAAUUAGAGUAGUGACAUGGCAUCAUCAAUAACAACAUUCUAAUUAUCAUGGCAAAAGAUAUCAUGAAAAACACAAGCAUGAAUAAUAAGCAUAAUGAAAUAACUGCACACGAAAACGAUAAGAAACAACUACAACUACACACACACAAGGUGCAAGCAAAGUCAAAAGGCAAGUUCGAGGCUCAUGAUAAGAGGUUGGCUUGCCUGGGGGUCGACAAAUACUCCGGGAAGAAGUGGGAAACGAUCGCGGAAAAAUUGCCGGAAACAGUUCUCUCUCGGAGGGGCUUUUUACGGACAAGGGCAAAGUGGUCAUUUUUACAGUGUCAACCCAUAGUGAAAAUGAUGGAAACGGAACGGGCUCGACGAGACGAAGACGUGGGCAUUGGAUUUACCUCAAACGGAGUUACUGUUAAAAAGAUACGGACGUUUAAAACUCAGGGACUAAUCUGUAAAAAUUCUUCUACAAACAGGUCCCUGGCAGUUUGAAACGGACGUGUCUUUUCGGCAAUACGUCUUCUUAUCAGGAAAACGGCUCGCGGCGGGGGCGCUUCCACUUAUCCACGCUGGCGAAGACUAGGUCAAAGCAGCAGCUGCGGGGCCGGGCUCCUGGGCCACUGACUGGUUGGGCCGCAGGGCCCGCCUGGCCAGCCUUGCCAAGUCAAUGCUCCAGUCGGCCGGCUCCUUCUUCUCUGCGACGCACGCCCGCGGGACAGAAGACGGCCGUGCUCCGGCGACGAGUCCCGGCGACACGGGCCACCUCCGGCGACGCUCCGGCCACCGGCGUGCUCACCGAGGAGAGGCGCACCCGUUCCCCCAUUUCAUGGACUCCAAAAACGAGGGGGACGACGGAGUUCUUGAGAAUGGCGGACGGCGUUGGAGGCUUCGGUCGUCGGCGUGGGGAGGGCUACGGUGGCUCCGGCGACGAGGCGAGGAUCUGGGAGGUUCCGCCGGAGUUCGGAGGGUCUGGUGGGGAUGCUAGGAGGGAGGAAGGGCUCCGGUGGCCGCGGAUUUAGUCGGUCACCGACGGCGGCCAUGGCGAUGGGGAGUGGUCAGAGAGGCUCGGAGGCGAGGGGCAAGAGCUGCGGGAGGCUUGGUGGACUGCGAGGGGGCUCGAGGCUGCUUAAAUAUCCGCAGGGAAGGCUCGAGAAGGAGGGGGCGAGGUGGCACGCGGCGGGCGACGUGUCGCACGUCGGCGACGGCGCAGUCGUCGGCAGACGCGGCCAGGGCUCACGGGAACGCACGGGAAGGCGACUAGGAGGGCACGGACGAGCGCCAGAGGCUCACGGAGACGAGCAGAGCUCGAGGACAAGAGGGGGAAGAGGACAGAGGAGAGGAAGAAGACGAGCUCACGGGCACGCACUGCUCGAGCUUUGGCACGGCUCGCCGGAGAAGCAAACGGAGGGGGCGCGGGGUCCAGGCGAACGGCAACGACGAUGCGGAGCUGAAGAACAUUAAUGGCGAGGUCAGGGACUGUCGGAGCAGCGCUGACGUCAAGAACAGUGGCUAGACCACCGCUUUGACAGGUUGCACGCGUAGUCACCACUGGCAUGGCGCGAUCCUUGGAUUUUACUGCGGUUAAAACAUGUCUAACGCGUAUCCUUCAAAGAUGUAGUGUUACUGAGGUAAAUGCUUGGGCAGAGACAAAGUGAGCUGAGUAAAUCAAGCUCCACAAGUUUACUGUAGUAAACUUGUCAAUGUCCUAGAGGUAAAACCACAAGUUUAAUGCAGUAAAUUUGAUGUCUGGGAGUCUUAGGGUAGCAAGUACUGCGGACCUGGUAGUUUUGAGGGCAUUAUGACAAUUAUUUAGCAUGGUUGCUGUACAACUGCUAAUAUAUGUCCAGAAACUAGAUGAUGAUGAAGCACUCCCUAGGGAGGUUGGAUUGAGAUAUAACUUGGCAAAUCCUCACGAUUAGGUCAUAAGUAGAUGCUGUAAAAAUAUCAGCCCAAAUGGACUUGCCAAAUUGAUACUUUCUUCACAAGCAUUACUUUGGACCUGAAACUUGGGAAAAUCCGAGGAAAAUAUUGGCUAAGUAAAAUUAGCCAAACUCUUGAGUAGGUGGGUUAUAUGAAUAGUAGAACGCCUGGAAUUAGUUUUAGCCAUAAUAGAGCAACAUAAAAUAUACUUGAUUCACAAACUGAAAAUUUGGACAGAAAACAAGAAUUGCUCCUGUGCUCCUAUAACUAAAUGAACUGAUCUGAAUUUUGGUGAAGGAUAAUUAUUUGAGAUAUUAGAGAGGAUGGAAAAGUUUCAUUCCAUUUGGAAUCUCUAUGAAGGUACUUCCUUCACAAAGUGACAAUCUGGUCGGAAACUUUGAAAAAUUGCAGAGGGAGAUAGGACGAUUGGAUUGAGCUCAUCUUUGGUAUCCAUGGGUUAUUUAUCAAUAGUAAACACCCUACCAAUUUUCCGCUCAUAUGGAAUUAGUAAUAAAGCACUUCCUUUGCAAAAUUUCAGAGAAGGCAGAAACUUGCAUUGUUUCAUCUGCUCAAAUUUUGAUCUGUGAAACAUGAGAUGAUGAUGGAACUAGUGAUUAUAUAGCAAGGGAAAGCUCCACAAUUUAUGUGAGAAGUUUAACAGCUAUAAAAAUAUUAGUUCCUUUAGAAAGUGGCAGAAAUGCAAUAUUGGUAUUAAAUAGGAAAAGGCAAUUUUCCUUAUUUAAUUAUGACCAAUAUAAUUUCCAGAGCUUUUAUUAGGCAUAAUUAUCAACUCCACCAAUUCACAUGAAUUUAGGAGAUGUCUAGCUAUGCCUUUUGAUUUUAUUCCACAAAAAGGCAAGAAAAGGAAUAAAUAACAAUUCAAAAAUAUUGCAUGGGACUUGGCUAUAUUUUUGCAUAUCCAAGGUUUAGAAGGAUAGGAGGGUCUCUAGGAACAGAUGGGUUGAUCAACAGAUCAAGGAAAAUGAUAGCCCCUUUGAAAUCACAAAGGGUAUAUUCAAAUCCCAAAAAAUUGGAAUUAGGGUUUGAGAGGGUUUCAGAUGAUGCAACUGAGGUCUUGCCCAUUGAAAAAAAGACUUGAGCAAGUUUUUAAAGGUUGGAAAUGACAAGAACUCUCAGAGUCAUCCAACAAACUCAGGGGAAAGAUUUUGAAAAAUGAGUGCGAGGAAGGAAUAACAGCACAAAAAUUGAUAACCCAAUUUUGGGGCUGUUACAAACCUUCCCCCCUUAAAAGAAUCUCGUCCUCGAGAUUCCUAGGGUUACAGCAGAAAGAAAAGAUAACCACUCCGGGGGAAAAUCUCUGGGUUAAAAUUUAACCCUUUGAUUGAAUUUUAACGAGUUGGGGCACCGAUAAUUGGUACACCCAUGGAGAGACCGGGAAAACACGGCUAAAUCCACGGCUAGGGGCACUCGAGAUCAAACUCUCAAAAAAUUGCUAGAUGCACCCAGUGAACAGUGGACUCACCGGCUGACACGUGGGUCCAGGGCCCACUGGCAGCCUCCUUCUUCUACCUCCGGCUGACUGCUUCUCCCGUGCUGCUGCUUCGCGUGCGGCUUGGCGCAUCGUGCAUCUAGCUCCUAGGGCGAUGAGGACCCUAGUGCCAUUGUGCGUGGUGUGCACGAUGCCAGUGCAGCGAGCACUCACGUCGCGGGCCAGCACCUUGUCGGCACUGCUCGCGGAUUCGCCUCCUGGACGCCGGUGAUCGGGCAACGAGCGAGUUUUCCUGGACUCCGUGCACCGUACACCGGGGUUGGGCUAUAAAAACGGCAGCACGACUUGCGUCCAACACACAAACACAAUGCCACUCUACUACCUCUUUGGUUUGAGCGAGAUCGAGCCGAGCUCCUUCAGCGAGGAGGUGUUCUUGGUGGCACUACGGUCCUUCCUCGCGGCACUGCUGGGCACGCUGGUCGGCUCGUCGAUCCUCCUGGUGAUACUCAUCAGGAACGAGCGGGCUCGAAACAACGCGUGGCUGGUGGCUGGAGGUGUGGAAGACGGUGCACGGGGUGGUCCUCUGCCACGCUUGGUCCUCUGUCGCGUCACGCCGAUGGAGUAAUCGCGUGCUGCGGUGGAGCGGUGGUGGCGACUUGCGGCGCCACGCAAGGCAGGGAUGGUGUGGGUGAUGGGGUCCAGACGCAGGUGAGGUGGCUAUGCUAGCUCAGGAAUCGAUUUAGGGCACGGAAAAAAUUUCGCGGAUCGCUCCAUGAAAUGUAGGUGUCAAGGUAGAAUCGGAGUUGAAAUCUGUAUCGGGGAGUUGUAAUGGAUCGCGAGAAAUAAAGCUGGCAGUGUUUCUCUAGAAACACAAUUGGGUUCACGAAAAAGAAUCAGGGAUGAGAAAUGGCCAAAUGAAAAUGGCCUCUUUGGGGUUCUGGGUUUGGGAACAUCUGGCACACGGGGUAUGCACAGAUAGAGAGGGAUAUGUGACUUUGCAUUCCCCCGAGUACUGCUCAGUUGUACUCGUGGGUGAACUGGGUAUGUGUGCAGUAUGCAGUAAAAUCCAAACAAACAGAUGCAAUAAAGAGGCAACGGAAAAACACACCAAACAAAUCACACUAAAGUGUUUUAAUGCUAGUGGGUAUGUGUACUCCUGGUAUACAUAUACCUACACCAGCGUGCAUUUUAUUAAAGACUUGGGACGAGUCAAUGUGGUUUUUAGUGUAUGUGUCGUACUGAUAAAAUCUUGUUAGAAAACAUUGCCAACCCGGUCAAACAUUUCUGUUUGACAGAGAGACAAGCAAAAACAAACACACAAACAAAAGCAAGCAAGCAAAUAACACAGCAUACGGGUUACAACAGUACCAGCAUACAACAAGCACAGACGCACUACGUGCUAAUCGAAACUACUCACUCCGGGAUACAUGGUUCUACCCUCAUAUCGGGGAUGAACCGACAGACCGAUCGACUAGCAAGGACCACUGACUGUGUGACCGAAGUCAGGCAGAAGACUGGCCUUGUUGGGGCUCUCCUGGAGGACGAAGACUGAGCCAAUCUCCAUCUUCAUCAUCUGGCACUUCUAUGGGUUGGGGCGGUGGGGCUGGAAUUGCUCCAGGAAAAUGCUGCUAAUGGAUCAGGAGAAGAGACUUGUCGAGGGUGAUGAUGUUUGGCUUGGACCACAUCACAGGUUGAGAGGAUAGCACUGGUUGAUAGGAUAGCACUGGUUCGGAUGGCGUUGGGCCAACAGCUUGAGAUGCGAACUUACGAGCCUCACGGUAAGCUUCCUUGACGACUCAUACCACAUUAUUGUCCAUGGCUCUAAACUCGGCAAGCAGCAUUGAAAUCAACAUCCCCUGGGCAGUGAUGUAUUGCACCAGGCGAGCGAUUGUAGGAUCAUCUCCUUGGCUAACGGAAGAAGGCUGCAUUACUGCAUUUGACGCAGUGGGGAAAAAGCAGAACUCCCGCCUUGUUGCUACAUGCGGGAAGUUGGUUCGGAGGUGAAGGAUAGCCUCCACAGCAGCGGCUUGAAUGGCUAAACAAGAGGUAGGCAUGGCUCUACCCUGUAAAACCAAAGGCUGGACAUCUGCUACAGGGCCUAGGCUGAUGUGCACUCUUGCAGUAAAGCGAUGAAGGUGAGGGACGGGUGUCGAUUGGAACACCAGGUAAUCGGGGCUAAUCCUACCGACAAAUGCUUUGGUGAGCAUCUCGGAAAGAAGGGGUGGAAAACCAGGGUGGUUGAUGGCAUAGGUGCGGGUGUAAUACGUGGGAGUUUUGGAGCUGCUAGCCAUGGUUGGGGUGCUACUAGCUAAGCUUUUCUGCAGGGACAUGGCAGACUGAGGAACGAGCAAUACGGCUAGCGGAAAGGGGGUUUUAUAGGCGGCUACGCGGGACAGGCCCACAUGGCGUGGCCCCUUUCCCUUAAUGGCGAAGGGAAAGCGAUGCGGCCGACCAGAAAGGAUAGGAUUGCUACACGUUACACGGAUAACUAGGCGGGGACAGCGGGGUGAGGACGUGUCGGUCCCGACUGCGCCACCUGUUGAUUAACAGUGGCCAUGCCAGAUGCCAGGGAUGGGUCAAAUCCCUUAGGGUCAUUACGGGUUGAUGGUGGCAGUGAUCUAAUGCUAGGAUAAUCUAUGCCAGCCUGGCUGCUCUGAUACCAAGCCCUAUGGCACCUCGAUCCGCAUGGAGCAGGGGGCCUUCGCACGUCAGCCCAGGAUAACACCUGACGCACGACAGGUCCAUGAUACAGCAUUCCAGGUACAAGAAUAUUCAUCAAAUACAUGUGUAUAUAGUUACAUCAGUGAUGAAUAUAAUCUUCUGGCAUAGCCCUAAGGCUAUUUACAUGGUAGCAGAAGUCAAUUUAAAUGGCGGCAGAAGUCUUGGCAGUAUGUCCCUCUGGUUGGGCUCCACAACUCACAGGACUGACAAGAUUACGGCCUAGCACGAUGAAACAAUUGAACUACCUACAAAACUGGCAUGACACACCAGGUUAGCACAUUGAAUGUACUUGCAAGACAACCAAAUACAUAGCAUACAAACAAGCAGAAGACAAAGCAAGAACCAAGCGUCUACAACAACCUAUCUCAUAUCAGAAACUAAGCAUGACAUUAUAUCAAACGAAGACAUAAAUCAAGCUAACCUCAUGGCAUCUACUAGCAUGUCAACAACAUAGCAUAUCAAAUUUACUUCUAACAUGGCAAUAGCAAAGCAUAUCAUAUCAUCUCAAUCAUAUCCAUCAAAACUUGGCAUGGCAUAAAUAAACUAUGCUAAAACUAAACCACCAAUCAUAUCAAAUGCAGACAUAGCAUGUUAACUGCAUGCAACCAUCUCAUGUUCUACCAUGGUUCUUCAAUGCAAAGAUAUUACUCAUGCAAUGCAACCAAACUUGUGCACCGAGUCCCUCAGACUCUCUUACCAACGGUGAUCACCUCAUUUCCUGAUCACCAACAGAGACAAACUCAUGAUCCUUACGGCGAUCACAACCCGACCAACGACUGGCCCGUGAUCCUUACGGCGGUCACAACCCGACCAACAACUGGCCUGUGAUCCUUACGACGAUCACAACCCGACCACAUCUGGCCCGUGAUCCUUACGGCGAUCACAACCCGACCACAUCUGGCCCAGCUUAAUUAUUUUAGGUUUAUCCUCCAU